Molecule: ribosomal RNA, 423 nt
Filed under: uncultured bacterium
Lineage: Bacteria
Description: partial 16S ribosomal RNA
Rfam family: Bacterial small subunit ribosomal RNA
Source: RNAcentral
UGGGGAAUUUUGGACGAAUUGGGGGCAACCGUCGAUCCAGCCAUCCCGCGUGUGCGAUGAAGGCCUUCGGGUUGUAAAGCACUUUUGGCAGGGAAGAAACAGCCUGGGAUAAUACCCGGCGGACUGACGGUACCUGCAGAAUAAGCACCGGCUAACUACGUGCCAGCAGCCGCGGUAAUACGUAGGGUGCAAGCGUUAAUCGGAAUUACUGGGCGUAAAGCGUGCGCAGGCGGUUUCGGAAAGAAAGGUGUGAAAUCCCAGGGCUUAACCUUGGAACUGCACUUUUAACUACCGAGCUAGAGUACGUCAGAGGGGGGUAGAAUUCCACGUGUAGCAGUGAAAUGCGUAGAGAUGUGGAGGAAUACCGAUGGCGAAGGCAGCCCCCUGGGAUGAUACUGACGCUCAUGCACGAAAGCGUGGGGA